This 460-nucleotide ribosomal RNA is filed under the name uncultured bacterium. Its description in RNAcentral is "partial 16S ribosomal RNA". It matches the Rfam family "Bacterial small subunit ribosomal RNA", at positions 338 to 795 of the family's 1533-position model. The record is from RNAcentral.
CCUACGGGAGGCAGCAGUGAGGAAUAUUGGUCAAUGGACGAGAGUCUGAACCAGCCAAGUAGCGUGAAGGAUGACUGCCCUAUGGGUUGUAAACUUCUUUUAUAAAGGAAUAAAACGAGGCACGUGUGCCUUUUUGCAUGUACUUUAUGAAUAAGGAUCGGCUAACUCCGUGCCAGCAGCCGCGGUAAUACGGAGGAUCCGAGCGUUAUCCGGAUUUAUUGGGUUUAAAGGGAGCGUAGACGGGUUGUUAAGUCAGUUGUGAAAGUUUGGGGCUCAACAGUGAAAUUGCAUUUGAUACUGGCAGUCUUGAGUACAGGUGAGGUAGGCGGAAUUCGUGGUGUAGCGGUGAAAUGCUUAGAGAUCACGAAGAACCCCGAUUGCGAAGGCAGCUUACUAAACUGUGACUGACAUUGAUGCUCGAAAGUGUGGGGAUCAAACAGGAUUAGAUACCCGUGUAGUC